AUGACAAGCGUGACCAAAAAUCGGUUUGGUUUCAUGCCUGGGAGGUCGACCAUGGAAGCCAUUUUCUUAGUACGACAACUUAUGGAGAGAUAUAGGGAGCAAAAGAAGGACUUGCAUAUGGUGUUCAUUGACUUGGAGAAGGCCUAUGAUAAGAUACCACGGAAUGUCAUGUGGUGGGCCUUGGAGAAACACAAAGUCCCAGCAAAGUACAUUACCCUCAUCAAGGACAUGUAUGAUAAUGUUGUGACAAGUGUUCGAACAAGUGAUGUCGACACUGAUGACUUCCCGAUUAAGAUAGGACUGCAUCAGGGGUCAGCUUUGAGCCCUUAUCUUUUUGCAUUGGUGAUGGAUGAGGUCACAAGGGAUAUACAAGGAGAUAUCCCAUGGUGUAUGCUCUUUGCGGAUGAUGUGGUGCUAGUUGACGAUAGUCGGACGAGGGUAAAUAGGAAGUUAGAGUUAUGGAGACAAACCUUGAAAUCAAAAGGGUUUAGGCUUAGUAGAACUAAAACCGAGUACAUGAUGUGCGGUUUCAGUACUACUAGGUGUGAGGAAGAGGAGGUUAGCCUUGAUGGCCAGGUGGUACCCCAGAAGAACACCUUUCGGUAUUUGGGGUCAAUGUUGCAAGAGGAUGGGGGUAUUGAUGAAGAUGUGAACCAUCGAAUCAAAGCUGGAUGGAUGAAGUGGCACCAAGCUUCUGGCAUUCUCUAUGACAAGAGAGUGCCACAAAAGCUAAAAGGCAAGUUCUACAGGACGGCGGUUCGACCCGCAAUGUUGUAUGGCGCUGAGUGUUGGCCGACUAAAAGGCGACAUGUUCAAUAG
Molecule: ribosomal RNA, 819 nt
Filed under: Triticum aestivum (bread wheat)
Lineage: Eukaryota; Viridiplantae; Streptophyta; Magnoliopsida; Poales; Poaceae
Description: partial small subunit ribosomal RNA
Source: RNAcentral